Molecule: long non-coding RNA, 642 nt
Organism: Physella acuta
Lineage: Eukaryota; Metazoa; Mollusca; Gastropoda; Physidae
Source: RefSeq, a predicted model, not a curated record
CAUACGACGUGAUUUUGUCACGUCUGGACUGAAUCGUGCCGGUAAACAGCAGACAUCAACAGCUAUUUACUGACAAAUUUCCCAGUUCUGCUUGAGUGGUUGUCUGCUGGUUACUGGUGCGAGACGUUAUUCAACAACCGAGACGAUCCAGAGAUACAACCCGAAGCCUCGUCAUAACGCCGGUGUCGAAAAACAAACCUCAAAAACUGGAUGUUGCUAUGCUCUAGGAUCAAUUAUUCAAAAAUAAUUUGCUAGUGUUGCUGGUUGAGAGCUUAUGCCGCACGGGUUAGGAUUAAAAUCAUGGAUAAUCCGAGUUACCAGGAUAAUCCGAGUUACCAGGAGGAGACAGCCCGGAUAAACAAUGACAAGAAUGGAGUUAACAAGCCGGUCAAAGACAGUGGCAUAACUUUUGAAGAUAUGGGCAGUAGAGCCCCUGUCUUAUGUUCCAGCCGUCUAUCUCUAGCCAUCAUCUCAUGUCUCGGCUUCAUCAACCUCUACGCUCUUCGUGUCAACAUGAGCGUUGCCAUGGUGUGUAUGGUUAACCAAAACCGCCAUAAGACAACUCAGGGGGAACCAACUCUAAUGUAACGUCGUCACGAGCUAGCGCGUGCCAACAGGUCAACACGACGAGCUCUUCAGCGC